Long non-coding RNA from Betta splendens (Siamese fighting fish), 1601 nucleotides. RefSeq lists it as uncharacterized. The transcript is spliced from 3 exons. The record is from RefSeq and is a predicted model, not a curated record. NCBI's taxonomy places the organism in Eukaryota, Metazoa, Chordata, Actinopteri, Anabantiformes, Osphronemidae.
UGGAAAUUUCAUGUAUGGGAAAGUAUUUUCUGUUGUGAUAGAACUUAUAUAUGUAAUCCAAUGAGUAAUGUUAUUUGUUCGAUGUGUUAUGAAACAUUGCAUUUAGCAUAAGAUGAUCAAACCUAUGAACACUGUGUUCUUUGUAUGUUACUCUUUUCACUGAGUUGUUACAUUUUGACUCCUUAGCAACAAUGGAGAUAUUAAGAGAGGCACAGAGAGAGGGAUUUCAGAACUACACUCGCAGGGCAACUGCACCUUUUCCUGUGUACUUCUCUUCUUGCAAGAAUAAACCAACAGGAAGACAACUUUGAUUGACUCUUAUUAAUUCAUCAGUUCCCAACAUUUUUUUGCCUCAACAAUCUGGUGUCAGAAGUAGGAUCCGCUGGUGGACGUCGCCCUGAGCGCAGCUCAGCCUCAUCCUCUACAAAAACAGAGUGAGACGGGGGCCAAAGGCUCCACCUCUGAUCUCCAUCUGACGGAUCCUGCGAACUCAAAACUUCACUAAAGGGGAACGUGGUCACUGCACUGAAGCUGGACCCAGACCUGGAUUCUUGUCCAUUUGCCCGAUACCUCUGCCCCAUUCCCCUAACUGAUUCAACCUCAGAAGAAUCGCAAGGAGCUGCGGGGGGAACAGGUUCCAUCACAGACACAUACUGGGCUGGCCUACACUUCAGCCUGACAGUAACUGCAGAGGAACUGCACGAGGAGAUCAACAAUCAGCAACAGCGUGCUUUAAACGCGGUAAAGAGGGACAUUGGUCUAGAAAUUGCCAGUCCACUGAGGGACGGUGCCCGUACUGCAAAGUGGAAGGACACAGACCAGCUGACUGUCCACAGAAUGAUGCUGCCGGGGCAAAAUGACGGGUGAGGAGCCCGUUGGGUUCUGGUGGCAAUGUAGAUGACCCUGAGGAGGGAGAUCUCUCAGCGAGUGACAGCAGCCUUGCCAGUUCCAGCCCAAGGACCACUGCAUUCUCUGGAACCGGGUGACUGGAUUGUGGUACGGGAACACCGUCCAAAACAUCGUAAGGGUGGGAAGUGGGUUGGACCCUUCCAGGUGCUGCUGACCACACAGGCUGUGAAGGUUGCAGAGAGGACGACGUGGAUCCAUCCCAACAGCUGUCUGCCAGGACGACGGCUCGGAUCAACAGUAACACUCUUGUACACAAGAGGCAGCGUUGUCCAGCACAGUGGGAGAGGCACGUUGAGUGCUUCUUCGCUGCACCGGUGAUAUACACUCUUACAGUAGCUUAGCACAUACUACACGUUCCUGAGAAAACACAUACAGGAGUCACUUUGGGUCACCUACGAGGGAAACUCAUGGCUACACGUUUGUACAGUGCAAUAGUGUCUCUGGUGACACAGGGGAGGGAAACCUAACAGUGGUGACAAAACUCCCUGUGAGACUAUAAGGACCAGUUGCUCGGGUGAACUCUAUACAAACUGGUUGACUAUUGCAUUGACACUCACAGUGACGCAGCAUUAAAGAACUGUGAGAAAUACAGUACUUUGUGUUGUUGCACCCAUGACUGACGAUGACUGUGCUACAGACUCGUUCUCACGGGAAAAAGACCACCGUGAGACUUCAUCUGAUACUAGUAAUGA